This 214-nucleotide ribosomal RNA is filed under the name uncultured Geobacter sp. RNAcentral's name for it is "partial 16S ribosomal RNA". It matches the Rfam family "Bacterial small subunit ribosomal RNA", at positions 1168 to 1382 of the family's 1533-position model. Lineage: Bacteria; Pseudomonadati; Thermodesulfobacteriota; Desulfuromonadia; Geobacterales; Geobacteraceae. The record is from RNAcentral.
GGAAGGUGGGAUGACGUCAAGUCCUCAUGGCCCUUAUGACCAGGGCUACACACGUGCUACAAUGGCCGGUACAAAGAGUUGCGAUACCGCGAGGUGGAGCUAAUCUCAUAAAGCCGGUCUCAGUUCGGAUUGGAGUCUGCAACUCGACUCCAUGAAGUUGGAAUCGCUAGUAAUCGCGGAUCAGCAUGCCGCGGUGAAUACGUUCCCGGGCCUU